UACGUAGGGUGCGAGCGUUGUCCGGAAUUAUUGGGCGUAAAGGGCUCGUAGGCGGCGCGGUAAGUCGGGUGUGAAAUCUUGGAGCUUAACUCCGAAACUGCAUUCGAUACUGCCGUGCUUGAGGACUGGAGAGGAGACUGGAAUUUACGGUGUAGCGGUGAAAUGCGUAGAUAUCGUAAGGAAGACCAGUGGCGAAGGCGGGUCUCUGGACAGUUCCUGACGCUGAGGCACGAAGGCCAGGGGAGCAAACAGG
This 253-nucleotide ribosomal RNA is filed under the name uncultured bacterium. Its description in RNAcentral is "partial 16S ribosomal RNA". It matches the Rfam family "Bacterial small subunit ribosomal RNA", at positions 524 to 776 of the family's 1533-position model. The record is from RNAcentral.